RNAcentral lists this long non-coding RNA (321 nucleotides) under Lathyrus oleraceus (garden pea). RNAcentral describes it as "Pisum sativum (pea) long non-coding RNA (PSAT_LNC011239)". The record is from RNAcentral. Lineage: Eukaryota; Viridiplantae; Streptophyta; Magnoliopsida; Fabales; Fabaceae.
AACGCUCCACGUUUUUUUGCCAUUUUAAUUUCUGAUUUCAUUUUUCUUUUUAUUUCUUUAAUUCCAUUUUAUUUCCAAAAAUCAUAUCUCCUUCAUUAUUGGUCCAAAAAAUGUGAGACCAAUUGCAAUUUUCUUCUUUUAAUUUCUAGUUUCUAAAAAUGAUUUUUAAUAUUUUUUAUUUUAUCAUUUGAUAUUUUUUAUGAAUUUUCUCUUUUCUGUUUAUUUUUAAUUCAUUUUAAAUAGUUUUUGAUAUUCAAAAAAUACAAAAAUAUUUUCCCAACCUCUUUGAAUGAUGAUGGAUCUAUGAAAAAUAUUCUCAUC